AGAAAGAGGCAUCUGUUGAAAGAUCAAGAAGGAUGCGCAUAAGCAGUAAGCAUCUAAGAUGAAGCAUAUGCUUGUAGUGCUCUAACAAUACGAAGAUUGUGAAUUAUCUUUGACAAAGCUAAUUAUCUUGUACAUUUGGAAGACCUUUCUUGUAGAAUGAGACAGUAAUUAGCAGCUCAGCUAGCAGCCAUGUGUGAUCAGACGUAAAUCUUUCUGCAUCUUUGCAUGAAUGAAUGAAGAACAUGGUACCAUCUUUGAAUGUUAACUAGCU
RNAcentral lists this long non-coding RNA (271 nucleotides) under Manihot esculenta (cassava). Its description in RNAcentral is "long non-coding RNA (MESC_LNC000699)". The record is from RNAcentral. Lineage: Eukaryota; Viridiplantae; Streptophyta; Magnoliopsida; Malpighiales; Euphorbiaceae.